RNAcentral lists this microRNA precursor (57 nucleotides) under Xenopus laevis (African clawed frog). RNAcentral describes it as "Xla-Mir-12478-P2-v1_pre stem-loop". Lineage: Eukaryota; Metazoa; Chordata; Amphibia; Anura; Pipidae. The record is from RNAcentral.
UGCUGGAGUGGACAUCAAUGCAUUAUUUUGCAAGGCGUUGUAGGCCUCUCCAGCACU